This 460-nucleotide ribosomal RNA is filed under the name uncultured Rhodospirillales bacterium. RNAcentral's name for it is "bacterial SSU rRNA". It matches the Rfam family "Bacterial small subunit ribosomal RNA", at positions 925 to 1382 of the family's 1533-position model. The record is from RNAcentral. Lineage: Bacteria; Pseudomonadati; Pseudomonadota; Alphaproteobacteria; Rhodospirillales.
ACAAGCGGUGGAGCAUGUGGUUCAAUUCGACGCAACGCGAAGAACCUUACCAGCCCUUGACUUGUGACUCGCCGGCUCCAGAGACGGAGCCUUCGGUUCGGCCGGAGUCAACACAGGUGCUGCAUGGCUGUCGUCAGCUCGUGUCGUGAGAUGUUGGGUUAAGUCCCGCAACGAGCGCAACCCUCGUCUCCAGUUGCCAUCAGGUAAUGCUGGGCACUUUGGAGAAACUGCCGGUGACAAGCCGGAGGAAGGUGGGGAUGACGUCAAGUCCUCAUGGCCCUUACGGGCUGGGCUACACACGUGCUACAAUGGCGGUGACAGUGGGAUGCGAAGGGGCGACCCGGAGCCGAUCCUAAAAAGCCGUCUCAGUUCGGAUUGCACUCUGCAACUCGAGUGCAUGAAGGUGGAAUCGCUAGUAAUCGAGGAUCAGCAUGCCUCGGUGAAUACGUUCCCGGGCCUU